GACGAACGCUGGCGGCGUGCUUAACACAUGCAAGUCGAACGGGAGGAAAAGAGAAGCUUGCUUCUUUUUGAAUCUAGUGGCAAACGGGUGAGUAACACGUAAACAACCUGCCUUCAGGAUGGGGACAACAGACGGAAACGACUGCUAAUACCGAAUGUGUUCCGGAGACCGCAUGAUUUCCGGAAGAAAGGAUGGCCUCUACCUGUAAGCUAUCGCCUGAAGAGGGGUUUGCGUCUGAUUAGCUGGUUGGAGGGGUAACGGGCCCACCAAGGCGACGAUCAGUAGCCGGUCUGAGAGGAUGAACGGCCACACUGGAACUGAGACACGGUCCAGACUCCUACGGGAGGCAGCAGUGGGGGAAUCUUCCGCAAUGGGCGAAAGCCUGACGGAGCAACGCCGCGUGAGUGAUGACGGCCUUCGGGUUGUAAACGUACUGUGAUC
RNAcentral lists this ribosomal RNA (441 nucleotides) under uncultured bacterium. RNAcentral describes it as "bacterial SSU rRNA". It matches the Rfam family "Bacterial small subunit ribosomal RNA", at positions 28 to 440 of the family's 1533-position model. The record is from RNAcentral.